This is a long non-coding RNA of Quercus lobata, 887 nucleotides long. RefSeq lists it as uncharacterized. The transcript is spliced from 2 exons. NCBI's taxonomy places the organism in Eukaryota, Viridiplantae, Streptophyta, Magnoliopsida, Fagales, Fagaceae. The record is from RefSeq and is a predicted model, not a curated record.
UGGAGACGAGUAGGUGAAAUAGAGUCACAUGUACAAAAAGAUUGGAGGAUAGCUAAUUGGUUCGAUAUAAAUUUGAAUGCAUGGUAGUCAUAUGGAUGCUUCUAGUCUAAGCAAUUCCCUCUAUAAACCCCAUAAGUUAUAUAAGUUUACAAGGAGCUACUAGGAACUUUUGUUAUUGCUGUGUAUAUUAUGUUAGACAUAUUCUAAGGUUCUGAGAGUGCACCUUCUUCUGGUGGAGACUGUGGCAGUGGUGGUGGUGGUGAUUUCAUUAAGAGUUAGCUUGUAAUGAGACCUGGAGGCCCAGGAGGACCAGGAGGGCCAGGAGGACCGCCCGGACCACCCGGAUGGGGUCCAGGACCAGGAGGACCGCCAGGACCACCUGGAUGGGGUCCACCCGGACCGCCCGGACCGCCCGGAUGGGGUCCACCUGGACCUCCCGGACCACCAGGAUGGGGGCCAGGACCAGGAGCACCGUUCUUCUGUGGUUUCUUUGACAUGAUUGGUACUUGCCUGAGCUUCUUAUGCUGUUGCUGGUUGUUUCAAGAUUGCUUUGGUGGCCCACCUGGGCCUCCUGGGCCUCCUGGCCCACCAGGACCACCUCCUCCAUAAUCAACUUCUUCCUACCAAUACACACACCAUGUGCAACUACUAUCUAGAGAUUUACAUCUAUCAGCUAUGUGAAAAUAAUGACUACUUUAGAGCAGAAGGACUUAGUAACAAGUUACUAAAAUUGAAAGACAUACUGGUUUUUAGUGUGCCAGUUUAAUGUCUCUCUUUAUCAAUGGCUAUUGGACAUUUAUUUGUAUGCAUUUAAUUUUAAUUAUAACUAUUGGAUAUAUGUGAUGAUCUGAAUGAACCAUCCAAUCCGAUGCUUUCAUUCCUUUUGA